CCUACGGGAGGCAGCAGUGGGGAAUAUUGCACAAUGGGGGAAACCCUGAUGCAGCGACGCCGCGUGAGUGAAGAAGUAUUUCGGUAUGUAAAGCUCUAUCAGCAGGGAAGAAAUAAAGUCCUUCGGACUUUGGACGGUACCUGACUAAGAAGCCCCGGCUAACUACGUGCCAGCAGCCGCGGUAAUACGUAGGGGGCAAGCGUUAUCCGGAUUUACUGGGUGUAAAGGGAGCGUAGACGGCAGCGCAAGUCUGGAGUGAAAUCCCAUGGCUUAACCAUGGAACUGCUGUGGAAACUGUGCGGCUGGAGUGCAGGAGAGGUAAGCGGAAUUCGUAGUGUAGCGGUGAAAUGCGUAGAUAGUAGGAGGAACACCGGUGGCGAAGGCGGCUUACUGGACUGUAACUGACGUUGAGGCUCGAAAGCGUGGGGAGCAAACAGGAUUAGAUACCCUUGUAGUC
Molecule: ribosomal RNA, 457 nt
Filed under: uncultured bacterium
Lineage: Bacteria
Description: partial 16S ribosomal RNA
Rfam family: Bacterial small subunit ribosomal RNA
Source: RNAcentral